This 460-nucleotide ribosomal RNA is filed under the name uncultured bacterium. RNAcentral's name for it is "partial 16S ribosomal RNA". It matches the Rfam family "Bacterial small subunit ribosomal RNA", at positions 338 to 795 of the family's 1533-position model. The record is from RNAcentral.
CCUACGGGUGGCUGCAGUGAGGAAUAUUGGUCAAUGGACGCAACUCUGAACCAGCCAUGCCGCGUGCAGGAAGACGGCCCUAUGAGUUGUAAACUGCUUUUAUACGGGGGUAAACUCAGUUACGCGUAUCUGAUUGCAAGUAUCGUACGAAUAAGGAUCGGCUAACUCCGUGCCAGCAGCCGCGGUAAUACGGAGGGUUCGGGCGUUAUCCGGAUUUAUUGGGUUUAAAGGGUGCGUAGGCGGUCGCAUAAGUGAGAGGUGAAAUGCCGAGGCUCAACUUCGGAAUUGCAUCGGAUACUGUGCGGCUAGAGAGUAGUUGCGGUAGGCGGAAUGUGUGGUGUAGCGGUGAAAUGCUUAGAGAUCAUACAGAACACCGAUUGCGAAGGCAGCUUACCAUGCUACUUCUGACGUUGAGGCACGAAAGAGUGGGGAGCAAACAGGAUUAGAUACCCUUGUAGUC